GGGCCACACCUCCCAGUGGCCUCACUGCCCGAGGGGUCCUCCCCCAAGUCCCCCGGGGCCACAACCAGCCCCCUCCACCCCGGCCUCCUCUCCAGCCCCGUGCCACCGUCAGGCCGCGCCGGUUCUCAUGAUUCUAUGUUGAACGUUAUUUAUAAACAUGAGAGGAAUCUUACCCUGAACACCACUGGGGAGUUUGGCCCCUCAGACCAUGGGGUGGGAGCCAGUGGUGGGGAUUGCUGCUGCUGCUGCUGACCCCAGGGCCCCAUCUGCCCUCCUGUCCUCUCCUCUCGCUGCUCACAGGACCCGCCUCCUUUGCUGAAAUCCCAAGAGGACCUGACGGCCCCGUUGGGCACCGAGGCCAGGGACCUAUUUGCCACGGAAACCCAGGACCGGAGCAGGGCUGCCACUCGCAAGGACUCUCACUGAGGCUGUGACGAUUUUCAUCGGGUCCUGGAUGCUGCCAGCAGGAACUCUGUGACCCUCGCAGCCUCCUCUGCCAGUUCUUGGGAAGGAUGGGAGCAGGGUCCAGAGCCUGCUCCGUCUCCUUGUCCACCGCCCCCCAACCCCCGGGGUGGACAGGAGUGGGUCCGUGCAUGUGGGAGCAGUGUUCUCCCCUUUCUGCUGUCCUGUUCAAUUUUUCACCCCGCCAUCCUGCCCUGGGAGGGGACUCCGAGGCUGAGUUUGCCUCUGUCCAGGAAUCCACUGUGGGACAAAGGAUGAGGAUUGGUGUGUGUGUGUGUGUGUUGAGGAGGUGGGGUGGUCCUAGCAGCCGUGCACCCUAAUCUCUCCACCCCCAAAUUAGGGCUCUUCACCUCAGCUGCAUCCUCAGAGACCCUCCCCUGGCCAACCCUGAAGAUGAGGGAGGAGGGGACAGGGAGGUCAGUCCCUUGAGCUGGGUCUCUACCAGCUCUGGCCUCCAAGCUCCAUCUUUACCACACCUUUUGCCUUUCCCACACUCCCAACCCUUUCCCCAGUUCCACCCUCCAGCACUAGACAACCACUGUCUUCCUCCCCACAGCCCACCCCCAGUCACGACUAGGGGCUGAGGGAAGGUACCCAUAUUCCAUGCUCCUGGCCCGAGUCUCCCCUGCCCUUCCCGGUGGGGUGGGGAGCUGACAGAUGGGGGAGGGGUAAUGCUCCAUAAGGUAGUUUGGGAAAGAGCAGGCACCCUCUGCUUAGAACAAUGCCAAGAGCAGGGGAAGGGCUGAGGUGGGCAAAUUCUGGAGCAAACAGUCGUGCCAGGCUGGGGGUCAACACUUCCUCAUUCUCCGGCUCCUGGGCUAGACUGUGGUUCCAGCGAGGCGAUGGACAAUCACAUGGUGGACUUGUCUCCUCCCUCAGAUGGUCGGCCCUUCAGGUCCCCAGCCUCCUAGGGCACUGGACCCCGGCCUGGGGUGGGAGAACAGACAGUCUUUGUCCAUUUUGUAAAGAGGAUGUGAAAA
Molecule: long non-coding RNA, 1442 nt
Organism: Tachyglossus aculeatus (Australian echidna)
Lineage: Eukaryota; Metazoa; Chordata; Mammalia; Monotremata; Tachyglossidae
Exons: 2
Source: RefSeq, a predicted model, not a curated record